UACGAAGGGGGCUAGCGUUGUUCGGAUUUACUGGGCGUAAAGCGCACGUAGGCGGAUCGUUAAGUCGGGGGUGAAAUCCUGGAGCUCAACUCCAGAACUGCCUUUGAUACUGAGGAUCUUGAGUUCGGGAGAGGUGAGUGGAACUGCGAGUGUAGAGGUGAAAUUCGUAGAUAUUCGCAAGAACACCAGUGGCGAAGGCGGCUCACUGGCCCGAUACUGACGCUGAGACGCGAAAGCGUGGGGAGCAAACAGG
This 253-nucleotide ribosomal RNA is filed under the name uncultured bacterium. Its description in RNAcentral is "partial 16S ribosomal RNA". It matches the Rfam family "Bacterial small subunit ribosomal RNA", at positions 524 to 776 of the family's 1533-position model. The record is from RNAcentral.